Molecule: ribosomal RNA, 1482 nt
Filed under: Lactiplantibacillus plantarum
Lineage: Bacteria; Bacillati; Bacillota; Bacilli; Lactobacillales; Lactobacillaceae
Description: Lactobacillus plantarum 16S ribosomal RNA
Rfam family: Bacterial small subunit ribosomal RNA
Source: RNAcentral
AACGCUGGCGGCGUGCCUAAUACAUGCAAGUCGAACGAACUCUGGUAUUGAUUGGUGCUUGCAUCAUGAUUUACAUUUGAGUGAGUGGCGAACUGGUGAGUAACACGUGGGAAACCUGCCCAGAAGCGGGGGAUAACACCUGGAAACAGAUGCUAAUACCGCAUAACAACUUGGACCGCAUGGUCCGAGCUUGAAAGAUGGCUUCGGCUAUCACUUUUGGAUGGUCCCGCGGCGUAUUAGCUAGAUGGUGGGGUAACGGCUCACCAUGGCAAUGAUACGUAGCCGACCUGAGAGGGUAAUCGGCCACAUUGGGACUGAGACACGGCCCAAACUCCUACGGGAGGCAGCAGUAGGGAAUCUUCCACAAUGGACGAAAGUCUGAUGGAGCAACGCCGCGUGAGUGAAGAAGGGUUUCGGCUCGUAAAACUCUGUUGUUAAAGAAGAACAUAUCUGAGAGUAACUGUUCAGGUAUUGACGGUAUUUAACCAGAAAGCCACGGCUAACUACGUGCCAGCAGCCGCGGUAAUACGUAGGUGGCAAGCGUUGUCCGGAUUUAUUGGGCGUAAAGCGAGCGCAGGCGGUUUUUUAAGUCUGAUGUGAAAGCCUUCGGCUCAACCGAAGAAGUGCAUCGGAAACUGGGAAACUUGAGUGCAGAAGAGGACAGUGGAACUCCAUGUGUAGCGGUGAAAUGCGUAGAUAUAUGGAAGAACACCAGUGGCGAAGGCGGCUGUCUGGUCUGUAACUGACGCUGAGGCUCGAAAGUAUGGGUAGCAAACAGGAUUAGAUACCCUGGUAGUCCAUACCGUAAACGAUGAAUGCUAAGUGUUGGAGGGUUUCCGCCCUUCAGUGCUGCAGCUAACGCAUUAAGCAUUCCGCCUGGGGAGUACGGCCGCAAGGCUGAAACUCAAAGGAAUUGACGGGGGCCCGCACAAGCGGUGGAGCAUGUGGUUUAAUUCGAAGCUACGCGAAGAACCUUACCAGGUCUUGACAUACUAUGCAAAUCUAAGAGAUUAGACGUUCCCUUCGGGGACAUGGAUACAGGUGGUGCAUGGUUGUCGUCAGCUCGUGUCGUGAGAUGUUGGGUUAAGUCCCGCAACGAGCGCAACCCUUAUUAUCAGUUGCCAGCAUUAAGUUGGGCACUCUGGUGAGACUGCCGGUGACAAACCGGAGGAAGGUGGGGAUGACGUCAAAUCAUCAUGCCCCUUAUGACCUGGGCUACACACGUGCUACAAUGGAUGGUACAACGAGUUGCGAACUCGCGAGAGUAAGCUAAUCUCUUAAAGCCAUUCUCAGUUCGGAUUGUAGGCUGCAACUCGCCUACAUGAAGUCGGAAUCGCUAGUAAUCGCGGAUCAGCAUGCCGCGGUGAAUACGUUCCCGGGCCUUGUACACACCGCCCGUCACACCAUGAGAGUUUGUAACACCCAAAGUCGGUGGGGUAACCUUUUAGGAACCAGCCGCCUAAGGUGGGACAGAUGAUUAGG